This 505-nucleotide small RNA is filed under the name Arabidopsis thaliana (thale cress). Its description in RNAcentral is "ATSL052160". The record is from RNAcentral. Lineage: Eukaryota; Viridiplantae; Streptophyta; Magnoliopsida; Brassicales; Brassicaceae.
UAAAUAAUUAUUAUUAUUAAUUCAUUAUCAUCAAACUUAAGAUAUUUACGGAUUCCACUUUUUAUGGGUUUACGGUUUUUGCGGGAAAAUCACGGGUUUACGUUUUUGGCGGGAAAAUUAUAGGUUUACGUUUUUGGCGGGAAAAUUACGGGUUUACGUUUUUGGCGGGAAAAUUACAGAUUUACGUUUUUGGCGGGAAAACCACGGGUUUACGUUUUUGCCGGGAAAAUCACGGCUUUACGUUUUUGGCGGGAAAAUCACGAGUUUACGUUUUUGGCGGGAAAAUCACGGGUUUACGUUUUUGGCAGAAAAAUCACGGAUUUACGUUUUUGGUGGGAAAAUCACGGGUUUACGUUUUUGGCGGGAAAAUCACGGGUUUACAUUUUUGGCGGGAAAAUCACGGGUUUACGUUUUGGCGGGAAAAUCACGGGUUUAUGUUUUUUGGUGGAAAAAUUACAAGUUUACUUUUUCUCAAUUUUAUCGCUUGUAUAUUUAAGAAAUUUGA